RNAcentral lists this unclassified non-coding RNA (235 nucleotides) under uncultured fungus. RNAcentral describes it as "sequence contains ITS1". The record is from RNAcentral. Lineage: Eukaryota; Fungi.
GUAUUGAUUGCGUGUGACCGCAAAAUAAAUAAAUAAAAAGAACAUUCUACACUGUAUCAAGUUUUAUGUGAAAACGCAAGCCCUCCUGCAAAGGGGGGCCCACGCGGUGAUGCACAAAAGGGGUGAGAUGGAUUGUGUGAGAGUGCUCGGGCGUGCACAACCUUUAAAAGGUCAGCGACAGCCCCGGCACCUCCGUUAUACGAUAAUGAUCCUUCCGCAGGUUCACCUACGGAAA